RNAcentral lists this ribosomal RNA (253 nucleotides) under uncultured bacterium. RNAcentral describes it as "partial 16S ribosomal RNA". It matches the Rfam family "Bacterial small subunit ribosomal RNA", at positions 524 to 776 of the family's 1533-position model. The record is from RNAcentral.
UACGUAGGGUGCGAGCGUUAAUCGGAAUUACUGGGCGUAAAGCGUGCGCAGGCGGCGCUGCAAGUCAGGCGUGAAAUCCCCGAGCUCAACUUGGGAAUUGCGCUUGAAACUACGGUGCUGGAGUGUGGCAGAGGGAGGUGGAAUUCCACGUGUAGCGGUGAAAUGCGUAGAGAUGUGGAGGAACACCGAUGGCGAAGGCAGCCUCCUGGGCCAACACUGACGCUCAUGCACGAAAGCGUGGGGAGCAAACAGG